AAAUUUUAAUAUGGUUUCCAUAAGCAACAAAAAGCAAGAAGCAGCUCCAGAGGAUUAACCAUUCCUCCUGUUUCUGAUAUUUAUUUCAGGAUUAGAUGAGCUGCCUCUGAAGAAGCCCAUCCCAUCCCCUUGACUCUAAACAGAGCUGAGGCAACAUGUGUCUAACUUUCAGAUAGCUAAACAUGGCCAAGGAAAGUCCACCUGUAGUCCUCUAAGUCCCUUGACUUUCCCUUCGAUGCCUUUGAAGAAUGUUUGCCUUCUCUGCGCUCACAAGCACUUCACCGUCAGUGCUGCAACUGGAAGUGUGUCAGGAGGGAACUCACGAAAGCUGGAAGAACUGGGUGGACAUGCUUGGAGGCAGGAAGCAAAAAUGUGGGAUCAUCGCAUUGAGGUGAAUGGGGAUGCUCAGAUGGAUACAUGAGAAAAUCACUAGGAGCCAGCUUCUUAACUCCUGUAACUGUUCACAGCUUGGUUUGUGUUCUGCACAGCCUUAAAGAGGACAGAAAACAGAAGUUGAUGGCACUGCAGUAAGAAACUUUUGAACGCUCCUUUAGGAAAAAAAACAAAUACUUUCUAGGGAGACUUCUUGGUGUAGAGCAGCAUUUCCUUUCAUGCAUUUUAAAAGGAAGCAAUGGAAUGUGAUUGACAUAAACGCUUCCUUUUUAAUUGAUUUGGUAUAUUUUGCUGGUUGUGUGACUUUAAUUUAGUAUAUUACAACCCAAUCGGAGGAGUGCUAUUG
RNAcentral lists this long non-coding RNA (739 nucleotides) under Numida meleagris (helmeted guineafowl). Its description in RNAcentral is "lncRNA (ENSNMEG00000016794.1)". The record is from RNAcentral. Lineage: Eukaryota; Metazoa; Chordata; Aves; Galliformes; Numididae.